GUCGAGAAUAAUUCACAAUGGGGGAAACCCUGAUGGUGCAACGCCGCGUGGAGGAUGAAGGUCUUCGGAUUGUAAACUCCUGUCAUCUGGGAGUAAGACCUGACGGUGAAUAGCCGGCAGGGUUGAUAGUACCAGAAGAGGAAGGGACGGCUAACUUCGUGCCAGCAGCCGCGGUAAUACGAAGGUCCCAAGCGUUGUUCGGAAUCACUGGGCGUAAAGGGAGCGUAGGCGGCGUGGUAAGUCAGAUGUGAAAUCCCGGGGCUCAACCCCGGAACGGCAUCCGAUACUGGCAUGCUUGAGGGUUGGAGAGGUAGCUGGAAUUCUCGGUGUAGCAGUGAAAUGCGUGGAUAUCGAGAGGAACACUCGUGGCGAAGGCGAGCUACUGGACAACAUCUGACGCUGAGGCUCGAAGGCCAGGGGAGCAAAAGGGAUUAGAUACCCCGGUAGUCC
This 450-nucleotide ribosomal RNA is filed under the name uncultured bacterium. RNAcentral describes it as "partial 16S ribosomal RNA". It matches the Rfam family "Bacterial small subunit ribosomal RNA", at positions 354 to 796 of the family's 1533-position model. The record is from RNAcentral.